Molecule: non-coding RNA, 1348 nt
Organism: Podarcis lilfordi (Lilford's wall lizard)
Lineage: Eukaryota; Metazoa; Chordata; Lepidosauria; Squamata; Lacertidae
Source: the annotation of a GenBank genome assembly
GUUUGUUAAGGGUGCUGAGAAUUGUAGCUCUGUGAGGGGGAAUCUUCGAUUCUCAGGAUUCUUUGGGGAAUCCAUCUGCUUUAAAUGGAUGAUGUAGAAGAUGUGACCCAGGUUGACACCAGGCAGGGGCCCAUGGGCAGUAUCAGCCUAAAGGGCCAUUAAAGUCUGGCAGUGGCCCUGCUUAUCACUCUUUUAUUCCCCAUUUUGCCAUUCUUUACAUCUCCAUGCUAUUCCUUCCCCCCUCCACAUCUUUAUUUGACCCUAAUCUGCCUUUCUUCUUUUUAUUUUCCUGUUUUUAGCUCAGUAUGACCCCCUACUUCCUGCCCUCACUCAGUUUUAGCCUUUACCUCUCCCACCUAUUCACCUCUUUCCUCAUCUCCCCCUCCACACACAGAAGCACCACUUCCCAGAGCAAUGAGGUCACACUUCCAGAACCUUCCAUUGUAAGGUAUGUAACCAGUGUUUUUUUCUGGGGGGGACACAGGGGUACACAUACCCCUAAACAUUUUGUGAAUCUUUGUACUUUUGUCCAUUUACUGUAUUUAAUUCCCCCAAUUUGAACUACAAAAUUGUGAUUUUCUUGAGUCAAAAUGAGAGUACCCCUAAAUAUAUUUUUUAGAAAAAAAGCACUGUAUGUAACAAUGGCAGCCAUAAACCUUAGGAAGCAUGCUUUUUCCUCACCAAUGAGCAAUCUUGGUCAGAAGCUGCCUGUUGGAGCGGGGGGGUUGUCAAUCCCAGCACAUCUCAGGGGAAGAUUUGUCUGAAAGGAUGGCAGUUGGGGGAAAGGGAAUAUUUGAAUGCACCAAUGAAAACAGGAUCUCUCACCUCACUGGCAUGCCCAGGUAGUACCUCCAACACUUCAAAGGUGAGCAGCCAUCUUCUUGUUAUUAUCGUUCUUCCCCACCUGCUAUAUUUUUCUGCUUUGAAUCUGGCUGCAAUUUCGGUCAAUGACAGCCUAAUUUGACAGCUAUUUGAGCAGCUAUUUUUUCUGCAGGUGAAGAUGAUACAGAUGUUUUUUCUCAUGAAUACACAUUGAAAAUGAUGAAUUGAAGACUGUGCAGUAUACAAAAGCAUCUGAUGAAGAGGGGCCGAAACUUGUUCAGCUGUUUAUACUGGACCAAGCUGACUUCUAAGAUUAAAUGGAUUUGGGACUUUUUGAGUUGCAAAUUACUGUUUCAAAUACCAAGAUGUAUUUGGGUUGUUCCUCCUCUCCCCAAUCCACUGCUCCUGUUGAUUGGAAGGUCAAUAUAAGAAAAAAAUUGUACUUUUACUAGCAAAAUUUUAAUAAGAUAUCCCCAAUGUCUACCCUAAACAGGGUCACCAUAAGGGCACUUAAAAACAACAACCC